UCCAGACUCCUACGGGAGGCAGCAGUGGGGAAUAUCGCACAAUGGGGGAAACCCUGAUGCAGCAACGCCGCGUGAGUGAGGAAGUAUUUCGGUAUGUAAAGCUCUCUCAGCAGGGAAUAGAAAAGAAGGUACCUGAAAAAGAAGCCCCGGCUAACUACGUGCCAGCAGCCGCGGUAAUACGUAGGGGGCAAGCGUUAUCCGGAUUUACUGGGUGUAAAGGGAGCGUAGACGGUAUGGCAAGUCUGAAGUGAAAGCCCCGGGCUCAACCUGGGAACUGCUUUGGAAACUGUUAAACUAGAGUGCUGGAGAGGCAGGCGGAAUUCCUAGUGUAGCGGUGAAAUGCGUAGAUAUUAGGAGGAACACCAGUGGCGAAGGCGGCCUGCUGGACAGUAACUGACGUUGAGGCUCGAAAGCGUGGGGAGCAAACAGGAUUAGAUACCCGUGUAAG
This 448-nucleotide ribosomal RNA is filed under the name uncultured bacterium. RNAcentral describes it as "bacterial SSU rRNA". It matches the Rfam family "Bacterial small subunit ribosomal RNA", at positions 330 to 793 of the family's 1533-position model. The record is from RNAcentral.